GGUGAGUGAUAGAUGUGAUUUUCUUCACAAAACCAAAGAAAAUUUAAGCAAACAAAAAAAAGUAUUAGCGUGAUAUUAGCAGAUUCUAGGACUCACUCUAUCAAGAAAGCCUCAAACUUUUGAGGGUUAGAACUGCAUCAAACUACUCAAGAAGCAUAAUUGUCGUAUUAUUCACAGAAAAAAAAUAAUAAUAAAGCACUACAAGCCUAGGUAUUUAUGAUAGGAUACAAUUGUAAUUCCACCAGGCAACUUGUAUAGGUAUACAAAGUUAACUGACAGUCUUACUAGUCUAGGGUCACAGUAAAUCUUGGAUUAUUCAUUAUAAAUAUACGAGUGAUGCCCUAGAAGAUAAUGGGAAAAUCACUUUUCACAUGGUAUCAAAGCCGAUUAUUGAUAUCUGAAUCCCUUUCCGCUCUAAAAUUUAGAUACGAGUAAUUCUAUGCCUAUUAAUACUAGAAUUCCUAAUCUUCUAGGAGUUGAAAUCUACAAACUAAAACUAACUGCUAGACUUAUUACGACUUCAUGUUGAAACCCAAAAUUAAGUAGAUAUAAAUUAAGAUACAAGAAAUGUAGACUAGCCCAUUCCAGCUAAAUUGUGACAUUGCUUAAUGCCCUUGAUUACAGAAAGUGCCCAAGCGACUAUACUGUGAGCAGUCACCUGCCAAAAUCAUUAAUUUAAUUGCUAUAUGGAGUUUUAUUAUCGUUUACAUACAAGUUCCAGCUUAUUUCUAAACUCAUUUAUUAAACGAAACAGGUAGGAGGGGAGACUUGUCACAAAUUUGCUGGUUUAUAGACUUUUGAGCAUGGACUAAACAAUUAUGAAUUUUAUUUGGAG
Molecule: unclassified non-coding RNA, 835 nt
Filed under: Hevea brasiliensis (rubber tree)
Lineage: Eukaryota; Viridiplantae; Streptophyta; Magnoliopsida; Malpighiales; Euphorbiaceae
Source: RNAcentral